RNAcentral lists this unclassified non-coding RNA (230 nucleotides) under Hevea brasiliensis (rubber tree). The record is from RNAcentral. Lineage: Eukaryota; Viridiplantae; Streptophyta; Magnoliopsida; Malpighiales; Euphorbiaceae.
AGUUGAGUUGAGUUGAGUAUAUUUCUAUUGUUAAAUUGAGCUAUUUUUGUUCCUGACGUAGGUGCCUUUCUUUUUUUUUUUUUAUUCGUCUGGCAGAGGAACUAAGAUGACAAGUAUAGUUAAAUUCAAACCUGCACUACGGGUUAAACAAAUGCAGGGGACACAGUUGCACACAGCCUGCCUGGGUUUCUGGUGUGGUAUUCAGCGGAGGCUUGCAGAAAGAACUUUCA